CAGGUAUUGUUUGGUUGCCAGCAAACAGAUGGUUGGCAGAUUUCUCACAGUUUGGGUAACAGGUUAGUAGAGGAGCAUAUUAGUAGAGGAGCAUGCAAGUUUGGAAAGUUAUGUUUGUUGGCGGGAUUCAUUGUGCUGGUUAAUUGAAGUCAUAAUAUAUCAGCAGGUAUGGCAUGGGAUUCAUUGUUCUGGUUAGAUGAGAUAUAUCAUCUGGUAAAUCAUUGGAUACAUUUCAACGUAUUGGAUUAUUUUGUUCUGAACUCUUUAGUCAGGUACCUUCCUUCUCUCAACACAACUUCAGCAACAUGUUUUAUAUAUUACAACUUCCAAGUUAAUAGUAGAGAUUUAAUCUCAAUACUUGCUUGCUUGGUGUAAGAAUGUAGAAGUAUGUUUUACUUUGGCUCCUAGCUGAAGACUACAGUUGGGUGUUCCAAUAACUUAUUUUUGGCAUGGUCUUCUUUGCUACCUCUGCAUGUGCGAUCCUCAUUAUUUGUUGCUUGAUUCUCUAUGCAAGAAUCUUGGCUCAUGGUCGAACAUAUAUGGUCACAUAUCUGCUCCAGGGAUUUAUUUUUUGUCAGAGCCGAUCGACAAAUGAUCAGCCUGAAAGUAUAAUUUUCUAGCUUAAUACAUGUCAUGCAAGUAUGGUUUCCUUAAUGUGACUGGUAAUGUAAAUUUUGUGGGUCUCUCAGUUCCUAUGAGCCUAAUAUAGUUAAUUCGAAAGCAUGAUUCUGAUGGAAAUGCAAAAGAAACAGAACCUGAAUUAGUAGUUAAUUGGAUAGCAUGAUUCCGAUGGAAAUGCAAAAGAAACAGAACCAACAAUAGUAGUCUACCUUAAAGCUCGAAGAAUUCAUGAGGAAUUCUUGCUAGCAUCUAGAAUUGGAUGCCCUCAGGAAGACUACUGUAAGUCAAUUUUCAUGACUGAUUUGCUCAUUUCCUCUAGCUGCACAAUAUGACAUAUUGCUUCUUAAUUCAACACUUACUGCUACUUAGUAAUAAGAGGACAUGUGGGACUUUGUUUCUCGAAUUGACACUCAAUAGUAGAAGAUGUUCAUACCUAGAAUAGUUGAUCACAAACUGCCGUAUCAUGGCUUUCUAGCUUAUAUGUUACAGAGCAAGUGAGCAGCCUCUACUCCCCCCCCCUCUAAUUAAUCUCUAUUUUGUAGCUUUGAAUAGCUAAAAAAAGUUGAUUCUGGUAUAUAUUCAUUGGCGCAAACAUUAGAAGUUCUAUGAUAUUUUUUCUUACCACAUAUAUAUGAAGGAUUGUGCAGACAACUUGCAGCGUUGGAAUCAACAUCUGGGAACAAUGCAUGGACAUUUAGAUAUAUAUUUUUAGCAUUCUUCAAGAUCUUGACUUAAUUUCUUUUUACACUGUUAAAUAAUAAAAGUAACAAAAUGUUGUACAAUAGUAGUAUCUGUUAUGUAGUCAAGUUUACUGAAAUCAAAAGAAAACCAAGAAAGGAGAGCCGAAGUUCAAGGCAUGUUCAGCUCCAUUGAUUUCCUCUCUCAAUGGAGUGUUAGUCCUCUGAAUAUUUUUAUUCCUCUGAUCUCAAACAUUGUCUACACAAGAGUCGAAGCUUUGUCUGCCACUGCUCUUCAGUUCACACCGCCGAUGUUGUGAGGACUGGCAGCUCUUCAGUUCAUGCUGCCAAUGUUGUGAGGACUGGNNNNNNNNNNAAAAAGUUGAUUCUGGUAUAUAUUCAUUGGCGCAAACAUUAGAAGUUCUAUGAUAUUUUUUCUUACCACAUAUAUAUGAAGGAUUGUGCAGACAACUUGCAGCAUUGGAAUCAACAUCUGGGAACAAUGCAUGGACAUUUAGAUAUAUAUUUUUAGCAUUCUUCAAGAUCUUGACUUAAUUUCUUUUUACACUGUUAAAUAAUAAAAAUAACAAAAUGUUGUACAAUAGUAGUAUCUGUUAUGUAGUCAAGUUUACUGAAAUCAAAAGAAAACCAAGAAAGGAGAGCCGAAGUUCAAGUCUUGUUCAGCUCCAUUGAUUUCCUCUCUCAAUGGAGUGUUAGUCCUCUGAAUAUUUUUAUUCCUCUGAUCUCAAACAUUGUCUACACAAGAGUCGAAGCUUUGUCUGCCACCGCUCUUCAGUUCACACCGCCGAUGUUGUGAGGACUGGCAGCUCUUCAGUUCAUGCUGCCAAUGUUGUGAGGACUGGCAGGACUUCAAUGGGUGCUGAGGCUGCAACCUAGGGCGAGGGCGUCGGUGCGUUGAGAUGGUGGGGCCACGUCAGUGGGAGGACGUGAGGCGGCGAUGUCCACCCGGAUCUAUAGCCGCAACAGAAGAACAACUCAGAGAGGACGUGCAGCUCCUGUGUGUAGUAGAUAAAUCGCUGCCCAGAUAAAUCACCGGGACACUACCAAGUGUGUCGUCAGUAGGAUAAAAAAUCUUGAGCGUGCCUCAGGUGCGACUCUAGCUAUUGAAAAUCAAAGAACCUGAAUACUUCCGGAGUUUGAUAAGGCUUUACGGUGAGUUCUCAUAGUGGUCUAUGUGCAUGAUGGGAUGCUGGUACUGCUGUUCUACUUUUACUGCUGUUGUCAUUAAGCAGAUUUUGUCAAAGCAAUUGCUAUGUGUAUUAAUUUGGAUAGGAUCAGUUAAAGUACAUCUCAUUCAACGGCGUUUUUUGUCGUGUGUUUUAACUUUUUAUUAUUAGUAGCAGUGGUUUCUAUAGCUAGCCCAAUGAUGAUCCCCACUUUAACCGACAUGAUGUCAAAGCUCAAGGCUAUCAGUGACCAUCCAUAUAGCUCAUCAAGUCAUCUUCAGAUCACUAGCCCUAAUGGUGUCAAGCUCAAGGAUAUCUACGAGCACUCGAACCUCCUGCAUGACGAAGUCACUCGAUGAGGAUGUGCUUACCCAGGAGAAUGAACCUAUUGAUGCUCCCCUUGCAGCCGGAAGUAUCUUGAAAGCUGGUAAAGUGGUGUGGUACUGUUUCCUCUCUUUUACCUUGAUGCAAAUACAUCUGUGAUGGUGUCCCAGCAAUGCAAGUCGUCAUUUAAUUCACUAGCUAUAUAAAAUGCUCAGCAAAAGAUAGUUCCUAUAACAUUUUGUGACCAAGGAAACGUGGUGACCUUUUGGCACUUUUCAUGUAGCGAAAACCUCAUACAUGAGCAUAUCCGCGAUGCAAGGAGCUUUUGUGGUGACUCGGAGGAGGUAGCAGGGGGAGGAAGAGAAGGGAUAGGUUCCAUUACGAUCUUCUGUUGACACAAUGGUCGUCGGUGGCGAGAACAUGAGGACCAUGGUGAGUGGCUUUGUACCAGGACUGUUUCAUGCAUUUGAUUUUGAGGUUGGAUAUUGAUCCCUUUUCCUAGGAUUCAGGAUUGUCAAAUGCCUAAUUGAUGCUUUAAUUAAUUCGUUGCCUUCAGUUCGUGUAGCAUACUGAUAACAUAAUUUGGCUCAUUUCGUGAAUGAUGUGAACUUACAGAGUGCCAUAGUACCAAAUCAUGUGUAGCAGGGUGUAGGGAGUCUCUAGUUUUUUUUAUAUGCUAAUCACUGAUUGCUACCAUUAGCAAGAAUUUCCUUCACCACCAAAAGCACGACACGUGAUAACCAUUGUGCUUUCUUUCUAGAGCUGGUUUUGGGUGUACCACUAUACUAUACCCUACAGAGAUGUCUCGUAAACAGAACAGUUCUGUCAUGAUGAGCUGUAUAUUUGAUGGACUUGGAGCUGUCUAAUUUGGACUUGAAAUUACAGUGUAAAAUUUCCACAUUGUAUAUUUUCUUUUGAGGAAGCAAGAUUGCUUCCUUGUUGUCUUUCUGCUCUAGGCACAAGAAUAGUGCAAGGUUGCAUGUGUGGAAUUAAUGAAGGCAAUAAUCCUACACGGAGGUGCCCCUUAAACAUCGUGUUGUAAACAAAAUCGCAUCAGUUUUUACAAGAUACAAAAAACUAUCAGUAGUGCGCACUUAUUAGCUAGAAAAUCCAUAUAACUUGAGAAGCUCCAAAGUUUUACUAGGUCGCCUGCAAUCUAACAGUUUGGAGUGUAAUGACUAUGCAUGUUCAUUUAUGUCUUGUGAGACUACAUUUUUGGUUGUUGGCUGGAGCUAUCACUAUGGCUGUUUUACUUUUCAAUCAAAUAAAUUUGUAUGGCCACCAAAAACUAAUGACAUGUCAACAAUUAUCAUUAGCAGCCCAGUUUAAUGAUCUUUUUUGAUUAAAAUUUCAAUGGAAAGCUCAUGACAGUUUGCACCCCCUUAUCUGCAUUUUACUUAACCUAUUGCAACUAUACUCUGACACUUACUAGCUAUUUUUUCAGGUUACAAUUUAUAGACAUGUAUUGACCUAUUGCGGCUAUAGAGUAUGCCUAAGCCAAUGGCCAGACAUCGGCUGUUCGGAUCCACCCUUAAGCCGAGGCACAAGUCCAUUGCGGUUGAUUAUUGUUUGGGGAUUCAGUUUCAUGGUGAGAUAUGAUUUUCUGGAUCUUGUUAUCGCUGAACUGUGAUUUGUUGGUUUGGGAACUAAAGUUGGUUGCUUGCAUCAAGGGGAUUCAUAUUGGUUGAAACCUUGAAGUUGAACAUGAAGGGCACACAUUUGAUUUCCAUUGGGUGUUGCCCUUGUUUAGCACAUUAGUAGAUGGUCUCUUACUGGAUUAUGGCAGUAGUAGUGUGGUAUUGUUGUGAAUUUUGUUUUCUUCUUUUACUAGACCAAUUGUUUCAAAGAAUUUUGAGAUGCUACAAUACUGAUAGACAUGUGGCUAUCCCUUCAUUUUAUCAAGGAUGACUAUUGUUGAUGAAAGGACAUUUACAUAUUUAUAGGUUGCAACCAGAUCAAUGACCGGUUAAUCUAACACCCAGUUUUAAAGAGAGAACAAAGUAGGAAGGGUGUGUGAUGGCGCUGGGGCCAUGUGUUGGAUAUAACAUGUUGGAUAGUCUGGACAACCAAAUUUCUCCCCUAUAUAUGUGCUGGAUUUGGGGGAGCUCUAACUGUUCAAACAGUUGGAAUUUUCAAGAGCCCACUGAGCGCCUAUUUGAUGUCCGAACACGCGCGGGCGUACGAGGGAGAAAUGAGCGCCGACCUUGGGGACAAUCUUAAUCAUUUGUUUGAUUCAUGUAUAUGCAUUGUAGCCCGUAGCAAUGCACGGGCAUUCUACUAGGUGAGUUGAGGCAGACAGCAAGGGCCGAGGUUGACAAAUAAAAUGCCAUUGUGAUGGUAAGGAAAAUAUCAGGUUCUAAUUAGUGGAGGACUACAAAAGUUAAAGAGGUCUUGAUGAGAUGAUUGACAUGACAUGAAUAGUUAAUUUGACAUGUAUCAUGGGCACUUCUUCAUUAUUCAGUUGUCUCGCUUGAAUUUGUGGACCAACUGCUGGACAUAGUUCAGUUUUCACAGAUAGCAAAAGCUGCAAAACUGGGUGUGCUAGAUUUUGUUCAAAGUGCAACUUUUAUUUGAUAAAGCCGAUCAGGUUUACAUGUGUAGAUCAAUGCAGUACCAACUGUAAAAGAGUUACAACGCAAGGUGAAGAGUCUCCUUUUUUGUAUUACACUGGGAUUGAACCUGCAUGUUGCUGGGGCAACCCUCUUUUAUUUUGGUCUUCUCUAUUUUCUGGUGUAUCUUUGUUUAUCAAAAAUAGUUGUCUGCCCUGCCCUCGACAAUUCGCAGUGUGUGCACGGCAUCUUAUAUACACUAUGGCUGGCUAAUUUAGAUGAUUACCACCUACGACCACUAUCUUGCUUAUUUUUCUUGUGA
This 5680-nucleotide long non-coding RNA is filed under the name Triticum aestivum (bread wheat). RNAcentral describes it as "long non-coding RNA (TAES_LNC012277)". The record is from RNAcentral. Lineage: Eukaryota; Viridiplantae; Streptophyta; Magnoliopsida; Poales; Poaceae.